GGGAAAGGCGAAAAGAACCCCGGAGAGGGGAGUGAAAUAGAACCUGAAACCGUAUGCGUACAAGCAGUAGGAGCCCGUCAGCCGUCAAAAGCGGGGUGACUGCGUACCUUUUGUAUAAUGGGUCAGCGACUUACAGUCUGUGGCGAGCUUAACCGUCUAGGGUAGGCGAAGGGAAACCGAGUCUGAAUAGGGCGAAUAGUCGCAGGCUGUAGACCCGAAACCGGGUGAUCUAGCCAUGACCAGGGUGAAGGUCCGGUAACACGGACUGGAGGCCCGAACCCACUCCCGUUGCAAAGGUAGGGGAUGAGUUGUGGCUAGGAGUGAAAAGCUAAUCGAACCCGGAGAUAGCUGGUUCUCCUCGAAAGCUAUUUAGGUAGCGCCUUGCGUAUCACUGCUGGGGGUAGAGCACUGUUAUGGCUAGCGGGUCAUUGCGACUUAGCAAACCAUGGCAAACUCCGAAUACCAGCACGUGCGAGCGCAGGAGACACACGGCGGGUGCGAACGUCCGUCGUGAAAAGGGAGACAACCCAGACCCGCAGCUAAGGUCCCAAAUUCACGGCUCAGUGGAAAACGAUGUGGGAAGGCAUAGACAGCCAGGAGGUUGGCUUAGAAGCAGCCACCCUUUAAAGAAAGCGUAAUAGCUCACUGGUCGAGUCGGCCCGCGCGGAAGAUUUAACGGGGCUAAGCCGUGAACCGAAGCUCGGGGUGUGCACACUUCGGUGUGUACGCGGUAGAGGAGCGUCGUGUAAGCCUGCGAAGGUGGGUCGAAAGGCCUGCUGGAGGUAUCACGAGUGCGAAUGCUGACAUGAGUAACGAUCAUGCGGGUGAAAAGCCCGCACGCCGAAAGCCCAAGGUUUCCUAGCGCAACGUUCAUCGGCGCAGGGUGAGUCGGUCCCUAAGGCGAGGCAGAAAUGCGUAGUCGAUGGGAAGCUGGUUAAUAUUCCAGCACCUCGCGUGACUGCGAUGGGGUGACGGAGAAGGGUAGGUGUACCGGGCGUUGGUUGUCCCGGGGAAAGCCGGUAGGCGGUGGGAACAGGAAAAUCCGUUCCCACAUACGCCGAGCAGCGAGACCAGGCUCGUUAGAGCCGAAGUCACUGAUCCCACGCUUCCAGGAAAAACCUCUAAGCUUCAGGUCACGCAGACCGUACCGCAAUCCGACACAGGUAGGCAGGGUGAGAAUCCCAAGGCGCUUGAGAGAACUCGGGUGAAGGAACUAGGCAACAUGGCACCGUAACUUCGGGAGAAGGUGCGCCUUCAUUGGUGGUAACACGCGUUACUGGGCUGAUGAAGGCCGCAGUGCCCAGGCCGCUGCGACUGUUUAUCAAAAACACAGCACUCUGCAAACACGAAAGUGGACGUAUAGGGUGUGACGCCUGCCCGGUGCCGGAAGGUUAAUUGAUGGGGUCAGCCGCAAGGCGAAGCUCUUGAUCGAAGCCCCGGUAAACGGCGGCCGUAACUAUAACGGUCCUAAGGUAGCGAAAUUCCUUGUCGG
This 1492-nucleotide ribosomal RNA is filed under the name freshwater bacterium LH6-2. Its description in RNAcentral is "bacterial LSU rRNA". It matches the Rfam family "Bacterial large subunit ribosomal RNA", at positions 507 to 1975 of the family's 2925-position model. The record is from RNAcentral.